RNAcentral lists this ribosomal RNA (728 nucleotides) under Caenestheriella sp. Spi01. Its description in RNAcentral is "partial 28S ribosomal RNA". It matches the Rfam family "Eukaryotic large subunit ribosomal RNA", at positions 168 to 765 of the family's 3401-position model. Lineage: Eukaryota; Metazoa; Arthropoda; Branchiopoda; Diplostraca; Cyzicidae. The record is from RNAcentral.
UGUCCGGUAUCNUCCAAGUCUCCAUGAAUGGGGCCAGCAACCCAGAGAGGGUGUCNGGCCCGUANGACUGAGCCGCGACGGCGUAUUGGGUCUCUCCUUAGAGUCGGGUUGCUUGAGAGUGCAGCCCUAAGUGGGAGGUAAACUCCUUCUAAGGCUAAAUACGGCCACGAGACCGAUAGCGAACAAGUACCGCGAGGGAAAGUUGAAAAGAACUUUGAAGAGAGAGUUCAAUAGUGCGUGAAACCGUUCAGGGGGUUAAACGGGUGGGCCCUCGAAGGUCGAACGCUCCCUACUCGCGUUUCCGCUCGUCGGCCCGUGCCGCUUUUCCGAUCUCGCUACGGGACGGAGCGGUGCGGUAACUGGUGCGAGCGGGGGCGUUUAGUUAGAGAGCCAGUAGGACUCCGCAACCGUCUGGAGCAGUCGUCAGAAGGGCUCUGGUAGAAAGCCUCCUCGCGGGGUGGACUCCGGGGUUCCGGGCGAUCUCUCCGGCCGUGAACCGGCAUUCCUCUCGGCUGGCGUCCGUGACGAGCUUCCCUUCACGGGGGAGUUGUCGGUUGCGGGCGUCACCGGGGGACGCUAGCGGAGAGUAGAGUCGGGUCCCACCCGACCCGUCUUGAAACACGGACCAAGGAGUCUAACAUGUGCGCGAGUCGUCGGGAUUAUAACUAAACCCGAAGGCGCAAUGAAAGUGAAGAUCGACCUCGUCGUUGAUCUAGGGGAGAUCCCGU